AUAACUGAGAGUUUGAUCCUGGCUCAGGACGAACGCUGGCGGCGUGCUUAACACAUGCAAGUUGGACGACGGUUGAUUGAAGCAGCGAUGCGGAGGUCAAUACGGAGUAGCGGACGGGUGAGUACAACAUGAGAAGCUGUCCCAUAAGGGGGGACAACGUCUGGAAACGGACGCUAAUACCCCA
This 184-nucleotide ribosomal RNA is filed under the name Synergistaceae bacterium. RNAcentral's name for it is "partial 16S ribosomal RNA". It matches the Rfam family "Bacterial small subunit ribosomal RNA", at positions 1 to 173 of the family's 1533-position model. Lineage: Bacteria; Thermotogati; Synergistota; Synergistia; Synergistales; Synergistaceae. The record is from RNAcentral.